Molecule: ribosomal RNA, 253 nt
Filed under: uncultured bacterium
Lineage: Bacteria
Description: partial 16S ribosomal RNA
Rfam family: Bacterial small subunit ribosomal RNA
Source: RNAcentral
GACGUAGGGCGCGAGCGUUGUCCGGAUUUAUUGGGCGUAAAGAGCUCGUCGGCGGCUUGUCGCGUCGUCCGUGAAAACCUGCAGCUCAACUGCAGGCUUGCGGUCGAUACGGGCAGGCUAGAGUUCGGUAGGGGAGACUGGAAUUCCUGGUGUAGCGGUGAAAUGCGCAGAUAUCAGGAGGAACACCGGUGGCGAAGGCGGGUCUCUGGGCCGAUACUGACGCUGAGGAGCGAAAGCGUGGGGAGCGAACAGG